AACGCGAAGAACCUUACCUGGGUUGAACUACGCAGGAAAAGCCGUAGAGAUACGGUGUCCGCAAGGGCCUGCGAUAGGUGGUGCAUGGCUGUCGUCAGCUCGUGUCGUGAGAUGUUGGGUUAAGUCCCGCAACGAGCGCAACCCUUGUCCUAUGUUGCCAGCGGGUAAUGCCGGGGACUCGUAGGAGACUGCCGGGGUCAACUCGGAGGAAGGUGGGGAUGACGUCAAGUCAUCAUGCCCCUUACGCCCAGGGCUGCACACAUGCUACAAUGGCCGGUACAAAGGGCUGCUAUCCCGCGAGGGUGAGCGAAUCCCAAAAAGCCGGUCUCAGUUCGGAUUGCAGUCUGCAACUCGACUGCAUGAAGUCGGAGUCGCUAGUAAUCCCGGAUCAGCAACGCCGGGGUGAAUACGUUCCCGGGCCUUGUACACACCGGCUAC
Molecule: ribosomal RNA, 438 nt
Filed under: uncultured bacterium
Lineage: Bacteria
Description: bacterial SSU rRNA
Rfam family: Bacterial small subunit ribosomal RNA
Source: RNAcentral